AGGAGAUGGAAAACAAGACACAUUAAAUGUAAUGAGUGAAGGUAAGGAAGAUACUCCCUCAUUACUUGGCCUCUGUGGAUCUCUAACGUCAGUGGCAAGUUACAAGUCUCUAACAAGCUUAAAAUCUAAUGACUACCUUGCAAGUCCUACAACAGAGAUGACAAGUCCAGGCCUAACUCCAUCCUGAAAAUUUUUGUGUAAAAGCCAAAACUUUUUAUGUUGUAAAUGUUUAAUUUACAUGUUUGACUGCUGGGAAGACCUUUGAAAUUUUAUAUUGUUCUGGUACAUGUCUGAAAUUCUAUUGCUUGGAGAGAAUCCCCUCCAGAUAAGAGAUUUUGAGUGAAAAACAUAAUGAUCCUGCCAUUUUUCAUUUUUAAAAUUCUUACAUUUGUCAUUGAGAAAGUUCAAAAUGGAAUAGGCUUUAAAAAAAAAAAAACUUUCAAAGAUCCGCCAAAUCAUUCAUAGCAAAUUGUACAUAUUGUUCAGCUGAUUUUUAUAUAUUUAAAUACACCUUAGUGGCCAGAGACUGACUUCAAGGUUUUAUUCCAGAGACUCCAGAGACUUAAGCUAAGUAUUUUUUCAUUCUUUCAGAUUUUC
Molecule: long non-coding RNA, 597 nt
Filed under: Homo sapiens (human)
Lineage: Eukaryota; Metazoa; Chordata; Mammalia; Primates; Hominidae
Description: HSALNT0125270
Source: RNAcentral